This 484-nucleotide ribosomal RNA is filed under the name uncultured bacterium. RNAcentral's name for it is "partial 16S ribosomal RNA". It matches the Rfam family "Bacterial small subunit ribosomal RNA", at positions 30 to 507 of the family's 1533-position model. The record is from RNAcentral.
AUUGAACGCUGGCGGCAGGCCUAACACAUGCAAGUCGAGCGGAUGAAGGGAGCUUGCUCCUGGAUUCAGCGGCGGACGGGUGAGUAAUGCCUAGGAAUCUGCCUGGUAGUGGGGGAUAACGUCCGGAAACGGGCGCUAAUACCGCAUACGUCCUGAGGGAGCAAGUGGGGGAUCUUCGGACCUCACGCUAUCAGAUGAGCCUAGGUCGGGUUAGCUAGUUGGUGGGGUAAAGGCCUACCAAGGCGACGAUCCGUAACUGGUCUGAGAGGAUGAUCAGUCACACUGGAACUGGAACACGGUCCAGACUCCUACGGGAGGCAGCAGUGGGGAAUAUUGGACAAUGGGCGAAAGCCUGAUCCAGCCAUGCCGCGUGUGUGAAGAAGGUCUUCGGAUUGUAAAGCACUUUAAGUUGGGAGGAAGGGCAGUAAGUUAAUACCUUGCUGUUUUGACGUUACCAACAGAAUAAGCACCGGCUAACUUCGUG